RNAcentral lists this ribosomal RNA (492 nucleotides) under uncultured bacterium. Its description in RNAcentral is "partial 16S ribosomal RNA". It matches the Rfam family "Bacterial small subunit ribosomal RNA", at positions 30 to 507 of the family's 1533-position model. The record is from RNAcentral.
AUUGAACGCUGGCGGCAUGCUUUACACAUGCAAGUCGAACGGUAACAGGCCUUCGGGUGCUGACGAGUGGCGAACGGGUGAGUAAUGCAUCGGAACGUGCCCAGUGGUGGGGGAUAACGAAUCGAAAGCGGUGCUAAUACCGCAUGUGAUCUGAGGAUGAAAGCGGGGGACCAGACAGCAAUGUUUGGCUUCGCGCCUUUGGAGCGGCCGAUGUCAGAUUAGGUAGUUGGUGGGGUAAAGGCCUACCAAGCCGACGAUCUGUAGCUGGUCUGAGAGGACGACCAGCCACACUGGGACUGAGACACGGCCCAGACUCCUACGGGAGGCAGCAGUGGGGAAUUUUGGACAAUGGGCGCAAGCCUGAUCCAGCAAUGCCGCGUGCAGGAAGAAGGCCUUCGGGUUGUAAACCGCUUUUGUACGGAACGAAAAGGCUCUGGCUAAUACCUGGGGCUGAUGACGGUACCGUAAGAAUAAGCACCGGCUAACUACGUG